GACGUAGGGGGCCAGCGUUGCUCGGAAUUACUGGGCGUAAAGGGUCCGUAGGCGGUGUGGCAAGUCGGGAGUGAAAUCUCUGGGCUUAACCCAGAGACUACUUCCGAAACUGCCGUGCUGGAGUGUGGGAGAGGCGCGUGGAACUGCAGGUGUAGCGGUGAAAUGCGUAGAUAUCUGCAGGAACACCCGUGGCGAAAGCGGCGCGCUGGACCACAACUGACGCUGAGGAACGAAAGCUAGGGGAGCAAACAGG
RNAcentral lists this ribosomal RNA (253 nucleotides) under uncultured bacterium. RNAcentral describes it as "partial 16S ribosomal RNA". It matches the Rfam family "Bacterial small subunit ribosomal RNA", at positions 524 to 776 of the family's 1533-position model. The record is from RNAcentral.